AAAGCAGAUUUUUUAAAAUCUACAAACAUUGUGGGAAGGAUAAAAU
Molecule: non-coding RNA, 46 nt
Organism: Homo sapiens (human)
Lineage: Eukaryota; Metazoa; Chordata; Mammalia; Primates; Hominidae
Source: Rfam